Molecule: long non-coding RNA, 2873 nt
Filed under: Centruroides sculpturatus (bark scorpion)
Lineage: Eukaryota; Metazoa; Arthropoda; Arachnida; Scorpiones; Buthidae
Description: uncharacterized LOC111622683
Source: RNAcentral
CAGAUACCUGAAUUACUCUCUGAACAGAGAUAAAAUACGUUCGCAAGACACCAUAUCUGUACUGGCAACUGUAUCUCACAAUCCGGCCGGCCGUCUUUUGGCUUGGAGAUUUGUGAGGGAAAACUGGGCGACGCUACUAGACAUGUUCGGACAGGGAAGUUUCUCCAUGGAUGUCAUCAUAUCAGAAGUUAUCUCUCAUUUCAGCACAAGAUUUGAUUAUAAUGAGGUGAAAACAUUUUUUAACAAAGUGAAUGUGGGAGCAGGUGCCCAGGCAUUAAAUCAGAGUCUGGAAAAGAUUCGUGCCAAUAUUUACUGGAGAGAGAACAUCGAAUCCUCUGUUGUUCGGUGGCUACAACAACAGAUCAAUCAAAAUAUGCAAGAUUAAUACUAUUAAAAGAAAUCAUAUCAUAUACUUCAAAUAACCAUUUUAAUAUCUUAUCAAUUUGUAUAGAUCUACUUAAAUCAGAACUGUUAUUUAACUCAUAGCUUUAUAAAAGUAAUUCUGACCAUAUCAUUUAUAUAAGGAAAACAAAAAUGGCAAAAUUUUUGCUUUUAUUAAUGAUGUAUGAAUUUCAGAUCCUAUUGGAUAAUACUUAUUCCAAAUGUAUGUAUAAAACUAGAUCCCUGUUAGUACACAUACAUAGUACUGACCAGUUAAAUUUUCUUCUGUAUAUUUAAAUAUGAAACAAAUGGCCGUAUUCCUUUAUUGGGCCAUUACGGCUAAAUAAUUACUAAGUAAUUUGGAAGGAGGUAGAUGGUUACGCUGCCAUCUCUCUUUAAAUUUAAUAAUUAAAAACAGUUAAAGGAAUCAGCUGUUCGUCCAAUAUUUGAAGUAAUUAUCAGGUUAAUUGUAUUUAUUAUGUACACAUUCUUUCAAAACGAAUGCCACCAUUUUAAGUUACCAUAAUUAUGUUAUUUAUUGUCCAAGAAGUGUGCAUCAUAUGCCACUCGAUAGAGCAGAUGUCAGAGUUACAUCUCCCACUCACAUUGGAUGUCUCAUGUCCUAACUCUAGGAAGUACCAUAAACAAAAAUGGCGACUUCGCAUUUCGUGUUCUGCAGUUUGCAAAGUUGGAAUCACUGUUGUGCAUUUGUUUUGCGUACAAUUUCAGAACAAUCUGCUGUGUAAGACAAACAUUUUUUGGUGAUAUUGACAGUUCUGGGAGAAAGCAAAACAGUUCCAACUUUGUAAGCAGAACACAAAAUGACUUCUGUGUCAUGGAGUUGCCAUUUUUGUUUAUGGAGCUUCUUAGAGGAAGUAGACAACCAAUGUUUGAGCACACGCGGGAGACGAAACUUGGACGAUUACUCUACGGAUUGGUGUACUGUACAUCACAUACUUCUCACAUAAUAGUUAACACUAUUACACUAACUUAAAAUGGUAGCACUCAUUAUGGAAGACCCUGUACCUUCAUCUUUCAGUAUAUUUAAUGGUAAACAAGAUAUUCUAGGUAUACACAAUGUAGACAUGAAUAAUUACUGUAAAAUAGUAUCAUGUGAAAUAGUAACUUUUUAUUCAAAGAUCUUGCAAAUAAAAAUGCCAAUGAAAUUUACUCUUUACUCGAUCCAACAUGUUAUAGUUACUUGUUGAGAAACAAUAAUGAUCGAUUUGAACUUUCAAAAAAGAGUCAUAACUUGAAAUGAUUUUUUGGGGGCAGUGCAAAUGGUAUCAAGUGAAGAAUAUGUCCUAUCAGCAGUUUACUUUCAGUUUUGUGUAAGAUAUCUUUUUACAUAUUGAUAUUACAGGAUCUUCCAAAAAGAAUGCUAUCAGGUGAAAUUAUUCUAAUUAUGUUAAUUAUUAUCCGAGAACAGACAUUAAAACAUUGGAAAACUGUACAAGUUUCGCAUUUGCCCAUUACAGAUUUCGACAUGUGCACCUCAUAUUACACAGCAGACAUCUGACUGAUACUCAAAUUCUUCCUAUUCUCACUACGGCAUAUCCGCUGUCACUCCUCACACAGCAGCCACAGUUCCACGGUUGCCAAUUGCCACUUGCAUCAUACGACAAUAAGUGAUUCCAGGUUUGAAACUGCAGAACACAAAACACCUUCCAUAUUGUGGAGUCGUCAUUUUUGUUUACAGCACUUCCUGGAAGCCGUAUACAAUGCAAAGGAUGAUUACGGUUAAUAUAAUUACAGUAGUUUAAAACGAUAGCAUCCAUUUUGGAAGAUCCCAUAUUUUAGAAAGCAUUUUAGCAAAAUAUUUAUUUUUCAAUAAAGGUUAAAUUAAUUAAAGAAGGAUCAAAUUAUUAAACAUUUGGACUUCAAUAUUUCUUGUGAUUGUAUGAAAAAAUAUCUCCAAGAUAUGCUCUUUGUUUAUUUAAAAAUGUUUUUUUGGUCCAGAAUAAAAAAAUAAAUUCAUUCGAUAUCAACUAUAUUUUAAUUAAUUGAGAACAAUAGAGAUAUAGUUAAAACUUCUUCGUGAAGCCAGUGAGAAUGCUAUAUUACGUUUUAAAUUUAUUAUAUGGGUAUCCCUCAAUUACCGUGGUUAAUUAAUUCCUCAUUGCUACUGUGUAUAUCAAAAUGGUGUUAAUCAAAUAGAGGUACAGUAUCUGCAUUAGUAUACCAAGUCCAGUGUACUUAAUACCACUUGUAUGACCUUAUACCUUUAACCUUAUAUACUUUAAAGCAGUGUUUCUCAACCUCUAACGAAUCGUCGCACCUUUCAGUAAAACCGUUACGUAGUAUCGCCCCCUUCACUACAAAAUUCCGAUGCUAAGGGCCAAGACUUACGCCAAAUUCGUACUACAUUGAAUAGACUAGUGAUCAGCGUUGCCAGAUCUGAAGGUUAAAAAGGAGCGUGGUUGUGCUCCAAAAGUAGCGGAUUUGAACUGUUUGUAGCCCAAACAAUAAAAUGAAUUAUUUUGCAACUAUGC